RNAcentral lists this long non-coding RNA (328 nucleotides) under Elaeis guineensis (African oil palm). RNAcentral describes it as "long non-coding RNA (EGUI_LNC018077)". Lineage: Eukaryota; Viridiplantae; Streptophyta; Magnoliopsida; Arecales; Arecaceae. The record is from RNAcentral.
CCUUGGCAUGUAGAAUUUCAUAGCCAUUAAGAUCAGAUCUCAAAAGCUCCCUCUUCUUCCUCUUCUGAAGAAGUCCUCUGGCAUCUUCAUCUAUCUUUCCUAUGAAGAUUAGCAUGCGAGCGAAGUAGAGGAUCUGGACAUCUAGAUCUCGCGGAGCAGCAGAUCUUCAGGAACUUCAACCUUGAUCAAGACUUCCAUUGUGAAUCAAGAUAAGAUUUCAUAAAAGUUAUGAAAAGUUUUUAAUUAUAAUCUAUUCAAUUUUUCUUCUUGGCCAUGCGAUGCGGAUCGCAUGUUUCCUUCAAUUGGUACCAAAACAAGGUUCUAUGUC